This 484-nucleotide ribosomal RNA is filed under the name uncultured bacterium. RNAcentral describes it as "partial 16S ribosomal RNA". It matches the Rfam family "Bacterial small subunit ribosomal RNA", at positions 30 to 507 of the family's 1533-position model. The record is from RNAcentral.
AUUGAACGCUGGCGGCAGGCCUAACACAUGCAAGUCGAGCGGAAGAAGGGAGCUUGCUCCUGGAUUCAGCGGCGGACGGGUGAGUAAUGCCUAGGAAUCUGCUGCGUAGUGGGGGAUAACGUCCGGAAACGGGCGCUAAUACCGCAUACGUCCUGAGGGAGAAAGUGGGGGAGCUUCGGACCUCACGCUAUCAGAUGAGCCUAGGUGGGAUUAGUUAGUUGGUUGGGUAAAGGGCUACCAAGGCGGCGAUCCGUAACUGGUCUGAGAGGAUGAUCAGUCACACUGGAACUGAGACGCCGUCCAGACUCCUACGGGAGGCAGCAGUGGGGAAUGUUAGACAAUGGGCGAGAGCAUGAUCCAGCCAUGCCGCGUGUGUGAAGAAGGUCUUCGGAUUGUAAAGCACUUUAAGUUGGGAGGAAGCGCAGUAAGUUAAUACCUUGCUGUUUUGACGUUACCAACAGAAUAAGCACCGGCUAACUUCGUG